GGCCGCACAGCGAGACAUGUGUUAUCGAUGAUACGCGAGACUACCGGCUUGAACUGCAGAGAACGAUCCAGAGAUGUGAGCCUUCGGGCUCCUGUGGAGUGCUGCAUGUGUCGUCAGCUCGUGCCGUGAGUGUCGGCUUAAGUGCCAUAACGAGCGCACCCCUGCCUAUAGUUGCCAUCGGUGAUGCCGGGCACUCUGUAGGGACUGCCACCGCAAGGUGUGAGGAAGGUGGGGAUGACGUCAAAUCAGCACGGCCCUUACGUCCGGGGCUACACACGUGUUACAAUGGGGGGUACAGCGAGUCGGUCGUAUGCAAAUGCGGUCUAAUCAUGAAAGCCUCCCUCAGUUCGGAUUGGGGUCUGCAACCCGACCCCAUGAAGCUGGAUUCGCUAGUAAUCGCGCAUCAGCCAUGGCGCGGUGAAUACGUUCCCGGGCCUUGUACACACCGCCCGUCAAGCCAUGAAAGCCGGGGGCGCCUGAAGUCCGUGACCGCGAGGGUCGGCCUAGGGUGAAACCGGUGAUUGGGGCU
RNAcentral lists this ribosomal RNA (529 nucleotides) under uncultured rumen bacterium. Its description in RNAcentral is "bacterial SSU rRNA". It matches the Rfam family "Bacterial small subunit ribosomal RNA", at positions 919 to 1482 of the family's 1533-position model. The record is from RNAcentral.